UACGGGGGGGGCAAGCGUUGUUCGGAAUUACUGGGCGUAAAGGGUCUGUAGGUGGCCAACUAAGUCAGACGCGAAAUCCCUCAGCUUAACUGGGGAACUGCGUCUGAUACUGGUUGGCUUGAGUGCAGGAGAGGAAUGCGGAAUUCCAGGUGUAGCGGUGAAAUGCGUAGAUAUCUGGAGGAACACCGGUGGCGAAGGCGGCAUUCUGGACUGCAACUGACACUGAAAGACGAAAGCCAGGGGAGCAAACGGG
RNAcentral lists this ribosomal RNA (253 nucleotides) under uncultured bacterium. RNAcentral describes it as "partial 16S ribosomal RNA". It matches the Rfam family "Bacterial small subunit ribosomal RNA", at positions 524 to 776 of the family's 1533-position model. The record is from RNAcentral.